Molecule: long non-coding RNA, 604 nt
Filed under: Homo sapiens (human)
Lineage: Eukaryota; Metazoa; Chordata; Mammalia; Primates; Hominidae
Description: HSALNT0360548
Source: RNAcentral
GGAUUCUUGCCACUGGUUCCUUGCAGCUGUGACUCCCCAGGGUAAGAGGCAAAGAGCCACCAGGUCCCAGCUGAGGAAGCCCUGUGGUCAGCUCAGACAGGGAUGCGGACUGAAGCCGAAGCAGGUGUUAGUAAUUGUCGUACCUACAGACGAGGAAACCGAGCCUCCAUGAAGUGAAGUGACUCACCCACAGUCACACAGCUAAUAUAUGCCAGAGCCCACAGCAGAACCCAGACGUACUGAGGCCAAGUUCCAUGCCAGCAUAAAACAGACAGCAGGAAUAUUUCCCAACACUUAGAAAGCAAACAACAGGCCAGGUGCAGUGGCUCACACCUGUAAUCUCAGCAUUUUGGGAGGCCGAAGUGGGCGGAUCACAUGAGGCCAGGAGCUCAAGACCAGCCUGGCCAACAUGGCGAAACCCCGUCUCUACUAAAAAUACAAAAAUUAUCCAGGUGUAGUGGUGCACGUCUGUAAUCCCAGCUACUCGGGAGGCUGAGGCACAAGAAUCAUUUGAACCUGGGAAGUGGAAGUUGCAGUGAGCCAAGAUCACGCCACUGCACUCCAGCCUGGGCAACAGAAGGAGACUCAAAAAAGAAAGGAGGAA